GACGAACCGUGCGAACGUUAUUCGGAUUCACUGGGCUUAAAGGGCGCGUAGGCGGCAGUACGAGUCGGGGGUGAAAUCUUUCGGCCCAACCGGAAAACAGCUUCCGAUACCGUACUGCUUGAGGGAGAUAGGGGCACGCGGAACUUCCGGUGGAGCGGUGAAAUGCGUAGAUAUCGGAAGGAACGCCGGUGGCGAAAGCGGCGUGCUGGGUCUCUACUGACGCUGAGGCGCGAAAGCCAGGGGAGCGAACGGGAUUAGAUACCCCGGUAGUCCUGGCCCUAAACGAUGGGUACUAGGUAGUGGGCUUGCAUGGGCUCACUGCCGAAGCCAAAGUGUUAAGUACCCCGCCUGGGGAGUAUGGUCGCAAGGCUGAA
This 374-nucleotide ribosomal RNA is filed under the name uncultured bacterium. RNAcentral describes it as "bacterial SSU rRNA". It matches the Rfam family "Bacterial small subunit ribosomal RNA", at positions 524 to 898 of the family's 1533-position model. The record is from RNAcentral.